UUGGAGGGCAAGUCUGGUGCCAGCAGCCGCGGUAAUUCCAGCUCCAAUAGCGUAUAUUAAAGUUGUUGCAGUUAAAAAGCUCGUAGUUGAAUUUCGGGAUUCGUCGGUUGGUCGGGCUUCACUGUCCGCACUGACCCGACGGAUUCCUACCUUCUGAAUAACCAGCAUGCUAUUAAGUUAGUGCGUUGGGGAAGCAGAGCUAUUACCUUGAAAAAAUUAGAGUGCUUAAAGCAGGCUUGUGCUUGAAUAGAUUAGCAUGGAAUAAUAAAAUAGGACGGCAUGGUUCUAUUUUGUUGGUUUCUAGGAUCACCGUAAUGAUUAAUAGGGAUAGUUGGGGGCAUUAGUAUUCAAUUGUCAGAGGUGAAAUUCUUGGAUUUAUUGAAGACUAACUUCUGCGAAAGCAUUUGCCAAGGAUGUUUUCAUUAAUCAAGAACGAAAGUUAGGGGAUCGAAGACGAUCAGAUACCGUCGUAGUCUUAACCAUAAACUAUGCCGACUAGGGAUCGGACGAUGUUAAUUUUUUAAUGACUCGUUCGGCGCCUUACGGGAAAC
RNAcentral lists this ribosomal RNA (551 nucleotides) under uncultured Acaulospora. RNAcentral describes it as "SSU rRNA". It matches the Rfam family "Eukaryotic small subunit ribosomal RNA", at positions 548 to 1098 of the family's 1831-position model. Lineage: Eukaryota; Fungi; Glomeromycota; Glomeromycetes; Diversisporales; Acaulosporaceae. The record is from RNAcentral.